This 236-nucleotide long non-coding RNA is filed under the name Sorghum bicolor (sorghum). RNAcentral describes it as "long non-coding RNA (SBIC_LNC013793)". The record is from RNAcentral. Lineage: Eukaryota; Viridiplantae; Streptophyta; Magnoliopsida; Poales; Poaceae.
CUUGUUCAGUUCGUGAAAAUUUUUGGUUUUGGCUACUGUAGCACUUUCGUUUGUUUGUGACAAUUAUUAUCUAAUUACAGAGUAACUAGGCUCAAAAGAUUCGUCUCGCAAAUUACAGAUAAACUGUGCAAUUAGUUUUUAUUUUCAUCUAUUUUUAAUACUUCAUGCAUAUGUACAAAGAUUCGAUGUGACGGGGAAUCUUGAAAAUUUUUGAAAACUAAACAAGGCCUUAGUUU